CACUCCUACGGGAGGCAGCAGUGGGGAAUUUUGGACAAUGGGCGAAAGCCUGAUCCAGCAAUGCCGCGUGAGUGAAGAAGGCCUUCGGGUUGUAAAGCUCUUUUGUCAGGGAAGAAACGGUGAGAGCUAAUAUCUUUUGCUAAUGACGGUACCUGAAGAAUAAGCACCGGCUAACUACGUGCCAGCAGCCGCGGUAAUACGUAGGGUGCAAGCGUUAAUCGGAAUUACUGGGCGUAAAGCGUGCGCAGGCGGUUUUGUAAGUCUGAUGUGAAAUCCCCGGGCUCAACCUGGGAAUUGCAUUGGAGACUGCAAGGCUAGAAUCUGGCAGAGGGGGGUAGAAUUCCACGUGUAGCAGUGAAAUGCGUAGAUAUGUGGAGGAACACCGAUGGCGAAGGCAGCCCCCUGGGUCAAGAUUGACGCUCAUGCACGAAAGCGUGGGGAGCAAACAGGAUUAGAAACCCGGGUAGUCCCA
RNAcentral lists this ribosomal RNA (472 nucleotides) under uncultured organism. RNAcentral describes it as "partial 16S ribosomal RNA". It matches the Rfam family "Bacterial small subunit ribosomal RNA", at positions 334 to 797 of the family's 1533-position model. The record is from RNAcentral.